Molecule: ribosomal RNA, 425 nt
Filed under: uncultured Cellulosilyticum sp.
Lineage: Bacteria; Bacillati; Bacillota; Clostridia; Lachnospirales; Cellulosilyticaceae
Description: bacterial SSU rRNA
Rfam family: Bacterial small subunit ribosomal RNA
Source: RNAcentral
UGGGGAAUAUUGCACAAUGGGGCGCAAGCCUGAUGCAGCGACGCCGCGUGAAGGAUGAAGGUCUUCGGAUCGUAAACUUCUAUCAGCAGGGAAGAAACCAUGACGGUACCUGACUAAGAAGCCCCGGCUAACUACGUGCCAGCAGCCGCGGUAAUACGUAGGGGGCAAGCGUUAUCCGGAAUUACUGGGUGUAAAGGGUGCGUAGGCGGCGAUUUAAGUCAGAUGUGAAAACUCAGGGCUUAACCUUGAGACUGCAUCUGAAACUGAGUUGCUAGAGUGCAGGAGAGGAAAGCGGAAUUCCGAGUGUAGCGGUGAAAUGCGUAGAGAUUCGGAGGAACACCAGUGGCGAAGGCGGCUUUCUGGACUGUAACUGACGCUGAGGCACGAAAGCGUGGGGAGCGAACAGGAUUAGAUACCCUGGUAGU